CAACAUUGCCAAAUUAAUUUGGGA
Molecule: non-coding RNA, 24 nt
Filed under: Arabidopsis thaliana (thale cress)
Lineage: Eukaryota; Viridiplantae; Streptophyta; Magnoliopsida; Brassicales; Brassicaceae
Source: RNAcentral